UGCGAUACUUGCUUGCGAUAUAUCGAAUCCGAUUCCUUCGGGUACGAAUGUUCGUUUAGUGAGUAGUGCAAAGUGUAAGUUGCUCCUGCAAAAUGAGAAGAAAUCAACUGAAAAUCGUGCAGACAAUAUCCAAAAAUGGUUUAUCCUGUACUUCCGGGACACAUAGUAUAGCAGACAAAUCCGUAGAAAGCUCACCGGAAUGACGAGUCGUGAUGCUGUUCCUUCGUGAAGAGCAGCAGAGGCCGAAGAUUUCAGAUUACAACGAUUUUUCUGGCGCGAAUGGGGAUCGAGAUGACGGGAUGGCUAAGGAGACGGGCGCCAGACGAUCUUCGUGGGAGGCUGUACAGCUAGAACAAACAUCCAUACACAAGAAUAACAUCUUUCGCUAAUCACAACACUUGGAGCACCCUGUACACAGACGAGAAGGCGACGAUAGAAAAACAUCGUCGUCGCUCGUUGAAGUCUCUUGGAAAAAUGACGUAGCCCUUUGCUGGUUAAUGAAGUGGUUUCACAUUGCUGCAUCCGGUUUGAUUCGAUAAAAAAAUACAAUUGGAAACCUUGCGAUCUUGAUGGCACUUCCACAUUCGUUGAUUAAAUACAUUCACGGUGCGUUAAAAUAUAUGGUGAACGACUUACGUAAGUACCUCUAUAUAAGUGUUACAGUCGCUAAUUAGAAUUAAUAGUGAUUAAUUUACAAGAGAAAGAUGCUUAACCCUGGAACGACAGUUGAUUUUCAUUAUUUCAUUCUCCAAAUUUUUGACUAUUUUCUUAGACAUUAUUUUCAUUAAUACAAAAUCUUUAGUACUCAAUUUUAGUAGCAUAUAGUAGAUUUACUAGCUGCAACGUUCGAGAGUUAAAAUUACAACAAAUUAUCGUUUCAUACUUUUUUUUUUUUUUAAAUAAAUUCGAGUCUUUCAGAAAAUUCUUUUACGAAAAUAUAAUAGGCUAUUAUUAUUGCAAAUCAAGUGAUAGAAUUAUACAGGAAUUCUUCAAAAUUUAAGGAUAGUUGCUUAAAGAAAAAUUUUAUUCAAUGAAGUAUCCUUAAAUUUUUGAACACCCUGUAUCUUCAUUACCACAUUUUUCAGUUUAUAUAUAUUUACAAUAUUUUGUUGUGUAGAUUUUGAUGAAGUUACUCGAAAUAAUUAAAUAAUCACUCGUUUUAGCAAUUCUACUAAAAUUUCAUCGAAAAUCGGAUUGUAUUCACGUCGAAAUUCAUUGAUUUUUAAUUUGGAACUUCAUCAGAUUGUUAUCAAUUAAUUGAAUAAUUGAUAGAGUGAUUCUUUAAUUAUUCAAAAUUUUGCAUUGUUGCAUUUGGCUGUUCGCAAACGACAGAUUCUACCUUUUCUGUAUAGGACGUCGAAAAAUAGACAGUAAAUUUGUAUUAGAGCAUGAAAAGUAAUAUUAGUUUAUUUAUGAAAAUACUGUCUUUACAUGGUGCUUCUAAUUGUAAGAAAAAUUCUAAAUCUUAAACUAUUAGGUGCAUAGUAAUACACAGGGUAAGUUAUGAAAUUUAAUUUCCUUAAUUAUCUCUAUUAUUCUGAAAAAUAUAAAAAAGGUUUACGAGUACAAAAUAAUUUUUUCUAACACUAUACGUUAAUAUUUUUAUUAUUUAAAACAGAAAAUUUUCUAAAAUCUUUCACCUAAAAAAGAAAAUUAUUACUCCUAUAAAUUUUGUUUCUAUCUCUACAAAUUAUAGGGAUAAUUAAGAUAAUCAAAUUAGAUGAUUCAUCUUAUACACCACAUUCAAUGACUCACAUAUUUAUUUGUAUAAUAUGUGUGAUUUUUUAAAUGGUCAAAGAUGCUGAUUACAUAAUUUGUUUGUUUUUAUUAUCUUUGUAUACAAUGUAAUAAUAUUAUUAAAUCAAUAAGAUAUAAGUAUUCUAAACAAACUAAUGUCAAUCUCACGUGAACAAAUACGUGAGUCACUGUGAUAUUAUGUUUCUAUAAUGAUAUAUAUUAUUUGAUAACGGGAAGUAGAAUCUGUGUACAAGAUAGUACAUGCUAAGUAUCUAAUCUACAACUUUAGUUGUUGUUUACACGAGAUACGCUAAUUAGUUGUUUAAUCAAUAUUUUCGAAGUUAGUAGAAAUUCAAUUGCAAGUAUGAUAAUUAGUUAAUCCUUUCUCUACGAUAACAUGAUACAUGAUUUGUUUUUUAUUGAAAACAAUAUAAGAGAUUAAAAAUAAAGGAAUUAGGUAAUAAUGAUUGUAUAAUAGGCAAAUCAUUACUGGAGAAUGAUUUUAUCUAUGUACAUUCGACGUCGCAUAAUUAUGAAAAAUCUUAAAAAUACUGCAAAAAUGUUAAUUCAUGGAAAAUUCAUUUCAUGAUUAAUAAAGCAGAUGAAUUUUGGGGAUUUUUCACUGUUAUGAAUCGUGUCUACAUUAUUUCAUAAAAAAAUAUAUUUUUAUACUAUUAAAAACUACUCCAAUUUUUCCAGUGGGUCAGUUAUGGUAUUAUAAAGAAUCUAUGCAAAAUCUAAUGAAAUAUUAUAAUCUAUUGGAAUCUUUUUAAUCUUAGUGGAAAAUUGCACGAUUUUCUUAACAUUUCAUAAGAGAAAAUUUGAGUGAAUUAACAGAAAUUUUGAUUAGAAGCAAAUUGUUUAAUUCCAUUAAGAUCCUUUAUUUUUAGCAGGAUUGAACUGGUCAAACAGAAAUUUUCAGCAAUCUUUUCUUAAAAACUCUGUUAGUUAAAAUAAUGUUUAACAUCAUUUAGCGUGUAUUAAUAAUGAAAUGUUUAAUUAUAAAGCCUCUUUCUUUCGCCAAAUCAUAAAAAUAGUUCCAUACUUUAGACUGUUAAUUGGAACAAAACGAAAAGUCAACGUGUGUUAAUUACGUAAAAUUAGUUUAUCAGCCAGGCACUAAUAUUUAAUCAGCAACAAGAAAAUAUUGCUAAUCGACCAAAAAAUAUAGUUCAACAAUUUUUGCACGUAAUUAAUCCUUUGUGAUUCUGAAUAAAAAAUAAACCAUUUAAAAUUAAUAAAGUAUAUUUUGAAGUCUUGAAGCUUUUACUAUUAACACAUAAUUUUUUUUUUCUAAUUUCAAAUCACAAAGGAAUAAAACGUGCACUAUAAGCGCAACAACAAUAGAAAAAGUUAGUUCAAUAAAUCAGAAAAAUUGAACAGGCACGUACGACAGCAUAAUGAAAAUCUUGAGGAACCGUAUUUCCAAAAAAUUGGGACGAAUGAACGAUCACAGGUAAAAUUGCGAAUCGAUAUUCGGAACGCGUUGCAACCCUUAAAUAAUUGCGUUAAUUUUCCUCCAUUGAAAUUUAUAACAGUGUAAUGAAAACAAGAAAAGAAACAAUUGCAAUUAUGCAAGGGUUGCAGAUACACUUAUCUAAUGCUUAAACACAAACUUGAUUACCCUUAAGUACCAGCAUUCAACCCUGUUUUGAAAAACAUUAGAAUAUUUUCUUAAUUUUAUUGAAAAUUCGUUUAGACAAAAUAUUUGUCUAUUAAUAAUAAAUCCAAAGACUUCUUGUUGAUCUAAUCUAAUGUCAUGGACCUAAAAAAAAAAAACAGAUUUUUUCUCAAAUCUAUAUGAUCAAUCCAAUCCCUGUAUGUAGCCUCAGAAGUAUUUCAAAUUUAUAAUUUAAAAAUCAAACAAACAGUGCAAGUCUUCGUGUGAAUUGCUCAAACACUUAUAAGCUACUUCAAACCUGAAGAGUAAUGCAAACUCAGAAAAUUGGCAAUCAUUACCUAUCAUCACCGAACAAUCCAAAUCUCUCCUUUCCAUCGCGUAUAAAAUACUUUAUACAUUCGAAUGUUUGAAGAUUAAUAAACUCCUUACCCUAAACACUCAAAACAGGGUUGAGAAAAGAAACGACACAACCCAUCUUCAAACACUUGUACCCUACUUUGAACGCUCAAACGCUUAGCCUAGAAAUCAGUAGCAAAAGCUCUAAAAAAUUCAUCAACUAUUCAAAAUCUACCCUUUAAAGAUCUCAAAAUUUGAUACUCUACUUUGAACGCUGGAGCGUCUAAUUAAAGAAUCAAUCAUGGUUCUAGGAAUACAUAAUCGUUCUCUCAGUCUCUGACUAUUCCAUCAUUUAAUUUAAGAAUGAAUGAUGUAUCCUAGAACUUCAAAUCCUCCCUCAGGAUCAUUCAAACACUUAAAUGACAGUGUUGAAACUCUAUCAAAUCUUACAUUUUUUCUCAGCAUCAUACACUGCCCCAUGAUUCAAUUUGAAGAAGAAUAAUGGGUUCCAGAACUUCUUCAUGCUGAAACUUCUAUUCGAAAAGCUGAAGAAAAUCUAAGAUCUAAAGAUCAGUUACAGGUCCAGACAAUUUAAUACCGUUCUCGAUCACUGGCAUUCGAUCGGCUACCUUCUCCCUGUACGGUGUCCCUUUGCCAUCAUCAUCAUCCACGUUACCAUCGUCCUCUUCGUCAUCUCGCUGUCUCCCCUCGUCCUCCUCUUCCUCCUCGUCCAGAUCCUGCUCGGAAGAGGAGGUAGAAGCAUUUCGUAGCCGUUUCACCUUCGUGCCAACAGCGUCGCCGGUUUCCUGGUCCGUGGUACCGAUCAUCUUACUACGAAGUAUGUCCAGCAGCUUCUCCAGUCUGACAAAUGAUGAGUUUUCGUUUGUCAGGUUACAAGCGGCAAAAGCAACAAUGUCAGCUGAAAGCCAUGCUGCCAGCUAAAAGAAACGGAUGUCGUGCGGUUGGUGAACAGCGAAGCGGAAGCUGAGCUUUUCUACGCGAACGGAAGGGUGCUCGCGGUUCUAUUCAUUCCAGUGCGAUUGGGAUUAAAAAAGAAUGCUUAGAUUUUAAAUACAAGAUAGUCCAAGAAACGAGCUAAUUGAAAAUUUAUUUUUUUCAAAGUGUUAAAAUAAAAAGUUGCCAUAGGAUUGUUCUUUGGAGUUUCGUGGACCACCCUGUAUUUUUUCUUUUGAAAUUUUAAUUCAAUUGAUUUAGAAAAAUUUUAAAGCAACUCAAAGACUUUGAUUUUAUAAAAUUAUCUUGGAUUACAUAAAACAAGGAACAAUGCACACUGUACACGAGACAAUACAAAAAUGGGGUAAACUAAGAUCAUGCUAUUGUACAAGCUGCAAAGCCAUGCCAACGUAAUUUACACUAUCCAAAUGUAAAAAAUAAAUUUACAAUUGCAGAAUGGAAGAAUCUGCGAACGAUGAGAA
Molecule: long non-coding RNA, 5130 nt
Organism: Osmia lignaria (orchard mason bee)
Lineage: Eukaryota; Metazoa; Arthropoda; Insecta; Hymenoptera; Megachilidae
Source: RefSeq, a predicted model, not a curated record